GGGGAGUUUGUGCGAGUGGUUUAUCUUUUUUAUCAAUAAGUAUAUGUGCCACUUAGGUUCCUGUGUCACUUUCCUGCUUUUAGUAUCUCCUCUUGCUCUUCACAGAAUCUGGUUUGGGUUGGAAGGGACCUUAAAGCUCAUCCUGUGUCCAACCUGGCCUUAAUCUUUUCUGGUUUAUGCUGAAGAGCCUGUUUUGGUACAUGUGAGGGUAGCAAUACAUUGUAGCCCAGCAAUCUUGGGUUUGGGUUUUGAUUUGAUAAGGUAGACUGCGCACUCUGUGGCUGGGCACCAGCUUUUACUUACCAACCUCCUUCUCAAUAUGUGGCAGUCUGGGGAAUGUUCCACUGUCAUUGCUAAAGUGUGUACUGGCACCCUUCUCCUCCUGCUCUACCAGUUGCAGAGCCAAAGCUUGCUUUUGUGUAUCUAUCUGGUGUGUCAGUUGCCAUUGCCAUAGCAGCUGGAAACCCACCACUCAUGUUAGAGUAUUAGGAAAGAAAGACCAAAAAUAGUGUGAAUUCCCUAUUUUUAAAGCACUACAGCCUAAAUCACCUUUUCUUCUCAUGGCUCUGUGGGGGUCUUCCAGAUUGGUUACCAUUGCCCUUGGGCGCAUCUGCCUCACUGGGCCUGCAUCAAGCACACCUAUUUCUCCAGUGGAAUCACCAGUGGGACUUCAUCCAUCAGGUAUACCCAGGUGGAGGAAAGGUGUUUCUGCAAUGAGCCAGGAGGCUUCCCAAGGGGCUUUGCUGGUGAGUGCUGGCCCCGCGCAUCCCCAUGGCAGAUGAUGUUACUCCUUCCUCGAUCAGCCCCACAUGGUAUGUGCAUUAUGGUGCUGGCUGGGUCCUCGCUUUCCCUCACUGCUCCCCCAGCCCCUGAUGAAGUGGCCGGUCAGUUCUCCCAUGCCUGCUGAGCAAUGCCUCAUCCUCCCAACAGCAGUGUUCCUAUUCUUGCAAUGUAUGUGCCUUAUUUUGUGUUGCUCCUGUAAAAAGAGAGGGACCAAGAUGUGUUGCCAAAUGUUCCCAAUGAGGCUGUACUUGCCAUUCAGCUGAUAGCACAUACCACUGUUAAUAGUGUCCGAACCGUCUUGUAAACCUCUGGUAUUCACGUGUUAUUGUCCUUGGAUUGGUGGAAUGUCUCCUAUGGAACAGUUACUGUUGUCAGUCCUGCAGAUGUGUAAGAUAAAAAUGUGUUCUUUUUCUCCCCCCCUCCCCCUUUUUUUUAUAAAGCUUGUAAUCCUUUUUAAAAAAAAAAAAAAAAAGAAAAAAAGAAAAUGUGUAAAUACAUUUACGUACAGUAGGAUUAGUGUUCGGCUGUAAUGGGCCUUAGUGGCCUUCAUUUGAUAAACCUGCAGUUAUGAUGUUUCUCGAGCCUUAGGUUGAUCGGAAGGGUCUGUAGCACUGUGUACAUACGAACUGUACUUCUGCUUUCAGAACCACUUAGCUCUUUUGUAACAAAGAAAAAAAAAAAACAAACUUUCUUACAAUGUCAAUAAAAACACAAAAGCCUUUGUACUUAA
This 1513-nucleotide long non-coding RNA is filed under the name Strigops habroptila (Kakapo). Its description in RNAcentral is "lncRNA (ENSSHBG00005009992.1)". Lineage: Eukaryota; Metazoa; Chordata; Aves; Psittaciformes; Psittacidae. The record is from RNAcentral.